Molecule: ribosomal RNA, 638 nt
Filed under: Trichoderma longipile
Lineage: Eukaryota; Fungi; Ascomycota; Sordariomycetes; Hypocreales; Hypocreaceae
Description: eukaryotic LSU rRNA
Rfam family: 5.8S ribosomal RNA (bases 256-409)
Source: RNAcentral
UGGAAGUAAAAGUCGUAACAAGGUCUCCGUUGGUGAACCAGCGGAGGGAUCAUUACCGAGUUUACAACUCCCAAACCCAAUGUGAACGUUACCAAACUGUUGCCUCGGCGGGAUCUCUGCCCCGGGUGCGUCGCAGCCCCGGACCAAGGCGCCCGCCGGAGGACCAACCAAAACUCUUUAUGUAUACCCCCUCGCGGGUUUUUUACAAUCUGAGCCAUCUCGGCGCCCCUCGUGGGCGUUUCGAAAAUGAAUCAAAACUUUCAACAACGGAUCUCUUGGUUCUGGCAUCGAUGAAGAACGCAGCGAAAUGCGAUAAGUAAUGUGAAUUGCAGAAUUCAGUGAAUCAUCGAAUCUUUGAACGCACAUUGCGCCCGCCAGUAUUCUGGCGGGCAUGCCUGUCCGAGCGUCAUUUCAACCCUCGAACCCCUCCGGGGGGUCGGCGUUGGGGAUCGGCCCUUUACGGGGCCGGCCCCGAAAUACAGUGGCGGUCUCGCCGCAGCCUCUCCUGCGCAGUAGUUUGCACACUCGCAUCGGGAGCGCGGCGCGUCCAUUGCCGUAAAACACCCAACUUUCUGAAAUGUUGACCUCGGAUCAGGUAGGAAUACCCGCUGAACUUAAGCAUAUCAAUAAGCGGAGGA